UGGAGCAUGUGGUUUAAUUCGACGCAACGCGAAGAACCUUACCAGGGCUUGACAUCCCCUGACCGCGUAUGAAAGUACGUUUUCACCCUCGGGUGACAGGGAGACAGGUGGUGCAUGGUUGUCGUCAGCUCGUGUCGUGAGAUGUUGGGUUAAGUCCCGCAACGAGCGCAACCCUUAUCAUUAGUUGCUAACAUUCAGUUGAGAACUCUAAUGAGACUGCCAGUGAUAAACUGGAGGAAGGCGGGAUGACGUCAAAUCAUCAUGCCCCUUAUGACCUGGGCUACACACGUGCUACAAUGGCCGGUACAAAGAGUUGCGAAACUGUGAAGUUAAGCUAAUCUCAUAAAGCCGGUCUCAGUUCGGAUUGUAGUCUGCAACUCGACUACAUGAAGUCGGAAUCGCUAGUAAUCGCGAAUCAGAAUGUCGCGGUGAAUACGUUCUCGAGUCUU
RNAcentral lists this ribosomal RNA (449 nucleotides) under uncultured Bacillota bacterium. Its description in RNAcentral is "bacterial SSU rRNA". It matches the Rfam family "Bacterial small subunit ribosomal RNA", at positions 933 to 1382 of the family's 1533-position model. The record is from RNAcentral. Lineage: Bacteria; Bacillati; Bacillota.